RNAcentral lists this ribosomal RNA (252 nucleotides) under uncultured bacterium. RNAcentral's name for it is "partial 16S ribosomal RNA". It matches the Rfam family "Bacterial small subunit ribosomal RNA", at positions 524 to 776 of the family's 1533-position model. The record is from RNAcentral.
UACGGAGGAUGCGAGCGUUAUCCGGAUUUAUUGGGUUUAAAGGGUGCGUAGGCGGUCCGUUAAGUCAGUGGUAAAAUUGCGGGGCUCAACCCCGUCGAGCCGUUGAAACUGGCAGACUUGAGUUGGCGAGAAGUACGCGGAAUGCGCGGUGUAGCGGUGAAAUGCAUAGAUAUCGCGCAGAACUCCGAUUGCGAAGGCAGCGUACCGGCGCCAGACUGACGCUGAGGCACGAAAGCGUGGGGAUCGAACAGG